UUGGAUUGAGACAACGUACAAACCUUAUCGAUAAACAAUUGGAGGGCAAGUCUGGUGCCAGCAGCCGCGGUAAUUCCAGCUCCAAUAGCGUAUAUUAACGUUGUUGCAGUUAAAAAGCUCGUAGUUGAAAUGAAGGGUAGUUGUGUAAUGAAUACAUUCGUGUAUUUUGUUAUUCAACUACCCUCCUUCUAAAUUCGAUAUAUGAGUAUUAAUUUACUUGUAUAUGGUUUUAGACGUUUACUGUGAGAAAAUUAGAGUGUUCAAAGCAGGCAUUUGCUUGAAUAUAUUAGCAUGGAAUAAUCAUGUAUGAUUUUCAUGAUGUAUUUGAUUGGUUUGGUUCAUGAGAAUAAGAUUAAAAGGGACAGUUGGGGGUAUUCAUAUUCAAUAGUCAGAGGUGAAAUUCUCGGAUUUAUGGAAGAUGAACAA
Molecule: ribosomal RNA, 426 nt
Filed under: Blastocystis sp. subtype 3
Lineage: Eukaryota; Bigyra; Opalinata; Blastocystidae
Description: bacterial SSU rRNA
Rfam family: Eukaryotic small subunit ribosomal RNA
Source: RNAcentral